GCAGGGCGUGGUGGCGCACGCCUGUAAUCCCAGCUACUCAGGAGGCUGAGGCAGGAGAAUCGCUUGAACUCGGGAGGUGAAGGUUGCAGUGAGCUGAGAUCACGCCACUGCACUCCAGCCUGGGUGACAGAGUGAGAUUCUGUCUCAG
RNAcentral lists this non-coding RNA (148 nucleotides) under Gorilla gorilla gorilla (western lowland gorilla). Lineage: Eukaryota; Metazoa; Chordata; Mammalia; Primates; Hominidae. The record is from Rfam by way of RNAcentral.